GUGCAGCCUCAACAUUCACAUCUCUUCAAUAUUCAUCUUAGCAUUAGUUACAUUGUGUGACACACAUUAUCUAAAGCAAACUGCUUUUCCCUCAGUUGACUAAUCUUGCUUCAAAUAUAAAUGGUUUAUUUUUUGUAGCUCUCGUUUUAUCGUUUUUAGCCACAAACUUGGUUCUGCUGCCAUGGCGGCUCGUUCGGCUUGCCUAUGCUCCUACUCGCUACCGGGAGCACUUAUCUCUCAUUUUUUCCACCGCAAAACUGGUUUCUGCGCGACCUUUUUCCAGUUCAACCGUUUCACCUCAACCGGUCGAUUAACUUCUUCAACCAAUCCUCUAAUGGCGGUUCGCUCUCAGGCCAAGCGAGGGUUCACAUUCAAAAAAGACGAAAUAGCUACUCCCGCUGAUCUUCGUUUUGAGGCACCGCUCGAAAUCGUCAGGUAUCCGGACCCUAUAUUGAGAGCGAAGAACAAAAGAAUCGAUACGUUUGAUGAGAAUUUGAAGAAGCUGGUCGAUGAGAUGUUCGAUGUAAUGUACAAAACUGAUGGUAUUGGGCUCUCAGCACCUCAAGUAGGAAUUAAUGUUCGACUUAUGGUGUUUAAUUCAGUUGGUGAGCGUGGUGAAGGAGAGGAGAUUGUUCUCAUCAAUCCAAGAGUUAACAAAUAUUCAAAGAAAAUUGUGCUCUUUAAUGAAGGUUGCCUAUCCUUUCCUGGGAUCUAUGCUGAUGUGGAGAGACCAGAAUCAAUAAAGAUUGAUGCAAGGGACAUUAAUGGUGCUAGUUUUUCUGUCAACUUGUCAGGUCUUCCUGCACGAAUUUUUCAGCAUGAGUUUGAUCAUUUACAGGGUAUUCUGUUUUUCGAUAGAAUGACUGAUGAAGUUCUUGAGCAUAUUCGUCCACAGCUACAGGUGAGUAGAAGUGAGCCAGUGAUACACCUUCUAAUUCCACAAGGCCUUGGAAAAGAAAUAUGAGGAUAAGACUGGACUCCCAAGCCCAGAAAGGAUUGAAACACGCAGAAAAAAGAAGGUUGCUGCCGGUUUUGGGAAAUAAUGAUUGCAGGCUUGAGCUAGUUCAGAUUUAUCAGAAAGAUCAAACUGAGGCUGGUGCUGCAUGUAUUAUGCCUCGGAAUUUGCUGGCUGAAGCUCAGGUUGAACACAUAAACAUACAUUACAAGAUGGUGGUUGCACUACAUGGUUGUUAGGAAGUUACAAAGGAAAGAUAGAUAAUUGCAUGUAGCUUGAUGACUAAUGUGUACUUAAUAGCUGUAUUGUUUGUAGGGAUCUCCAUUUGUCCCUGCACACUCAUUGCCUUGAACGAAUCUCUCUCUCUCUCUCUCUCUCUCUCUCUCUCUCUCUUUUGAGAAAUUGAAAGAAAGAAUCAUUUAUCUUUUCCUACUUUUCUUCUUUUUGCUUUCUGAUGGUGAUACAUAAUUAAAGACAUUAUUAAAUUGGACUUGAGACAAA
Molecule: RNA transcript, 1456 nt
Organism: Jatropha curcas
Lineage: Eukaryota; Viridiplantae; Streptophyta; Magnoliopsida; Malpighiales; Euphorbiaceae
Gene: PDF1B
Gene name: peptide deformylase 1B
Source: RefSeq, a predicted model, not a curated record